RNAcentral lists this unclassified non-coding RNA (370 nucleotides) under uncultured fungus. RNAcentral describes it as "sequence contains ITS1". The stretch from base 1 to 105 matches the Rfam family "5.8S ribosomal RNA", at positions 50 to 154 of the family's 154-position model. The record is from RNAcentral. Lineage: Eukaryota; Fungi.
GAAGUGCGAUAAGCAAUGCGAAUUGCAGAAUUCCGCGAAUCAUCAGAUCUUUGAACGCAAAUGGCGCCAGAGGGAUAUCCUUCCGGCAUGUCUGUUUCAGUGUCUGAGAGGUUUCACCAUUAUCUUAAUGUGAUUGAUGAAUUUUGGAGUUGGCGUCAAACCCUCCUCCUAAACCUCAUCUCUCAUGAAAGAUGUUCGAGUGGAUCUUUUGGUCCAAGUAAGUGGUCACACACCUCGCAUGUAGUUUCAUUGGGAUCACCAGAUUAUCCGCAUGCUCGAAGUACACUCUCUCUUGUUAGUGGUAGCAAUACCAUUACAAGACACUCCACACCCUGCAUCUGAGACAGGCAAGAUCACCCGCUGAACUUAA